Molecule: long non-coding RNA, 656 nt
Filed under: Capsella rubella
Lineage: Eukaryota; Viridiplantae; Streptophyta; Magnoliopsida; Brassicales; Brassicaceae
Description: long non-coding RNA (CRUB_LNC002994)
Source: RNAcentral
AUCAAAGAGGUUUUGGACCGAAUCACAUAUAUUCCUUCAAGCACGAGAGCAAAACAUGUUAUAUGGUCUUAUCCCAAACGCUACUCGAACCGGCGACCUCUAAACUUUUGCCAUAGAUUUUUACCAAUUGAACUAUUAGCAUUUGGUGAAAAUUAAAUUAUUAAAUCAGUAAAAAUUUUAAAACAGUGAAAUCGAGGAAAAUAUAUUUACAAGUAAUCAAACUAUUUAGUAGUACUGGUAAUAUUUUAUUGUAUGAGAUAUUGAAAUUAUAAUAAGUAUGGAUUAAUUCAAUUAGCUAUCGAUUAGAUUGUAAUAAUUAUAAUAAGACUUUGGAUGAAAACAUAAUUGACCGAUUAAAAUAGAAGUGGGAAAAGGAGCUGGAGCAUCAGAGGCGAACAGCUUGGAGACGGUCUCACGCUCAUGUUUCAUGAUCCUUUUUUUUGUGGCCAAAUUGGACCACAUACAUAUACAUAUAUACUUUUUUUUUUUUAAUAAUUAAAUUGUUUCAACGAAUGAUAUAAAUUUCAAAGAAUGUAAAAUAUGAUAAGAGGUUAAACAACUUCACGUUUUCACUAGGAAUGGUUCCUAAUGUUUUCACUAGGAAUGGCGAGUGGAGGUGGUUUCUUUGAUCGCCCGUAGAUGGUCCUGUAACCGAC